AAGGCCUGCCAAAGUUCCUGGAGCAAUGAAUUCCAUUUCCUAUGUACUGCUGUAGAGAAGGUCUGGUCCUGUGCCCCUAUCCUGCACAUCUUCGCAAGCAGCAGGGCCACUUCUGAUUAUCACAGUGUACAGGAAGAGAAAGGUCUGUAGCUCAGUAGUACAACACCUGCUUUCCAUGCUGAAGGUAUUAGGUUCAGUCUUCAGCAUUUCCAGGUAGAGACUCCUGCCUGAAAUCCUUUUGAGCCACUGCCAGUCAGUGUAGAAAAUACUCUGCUAGAUGGACCAUUGCUCUGAUAAGGCAGCUUUCUGUGUUCCUAUGUGCAGAAGGAAAGGGUCCUUCAGAUCACUUAGUCCCAAACUGUUAGGGCUUCAAAUGUGAUAACCAUCAUUUUGAACUGGAACCAGGAGCCAGUGCAAUUGAGAUAAAACUUGUUACAUGGUCUGGUUCCUGUCAGUAGCUUUGUCACUGCAUCCUGCACCUGCUGAAGCUCCUGGACAUGAUUUCAAGGACAGCCCCACAUAGAGCCAUUGCAGUAAUCUUAUUUUGAAGUGGCCAGGGUAUGUACAACUCUGGCAAGAUCAGCUCUGUCUGUAAAAGAUUGUGGUUGGGACAUCAGAUGCUCUUGGCCACCACCACAACAACCUGCUUAUCCAGGAGCAAAGCUAUAUCCAGAAAAAAAACUCCCAAACUACAAGUCUAUUACUUCUGGUGGAGUACAGUGCUGUCCAAAGCUGCAGUGGAUGGGAUGAGCCUCUGGCUCUUCUUGUGGACAUAAUUCCAAAUGUUUCUUGCAAUCCUGUUGCUUUUAAAACAAAGGCUGAAGGUGACUCAAUCAUUCUAUAGCUACCUUCAUAUGUAUGCUUCUUGGGGUUUGAAGCUGUGUGAUACGUUGCUUAGUGUUAUUCUAGUCUAGAGAACAGUAUCCAAAAUCUAGAAUGAAAACUACUAAAAAAAUUCUGCAGAUUACCAAGUGCUCCCUAGAAAGCUGAAAGAACUCAUUGAGUCUUAAAAGGAUGCAGAUUUCAGUUGCUUCAUGUUAGAUGAUUACCUGCAUAAGUAAUCUUAUUUGAGAACUGUUCUUUGCUGGAAUUGUUCUGUAUGGUUCAAUUCAUAGAUUGCCCCCUCAGUACUAAUACUGCAAGAGGAUAUUUGUGCCAUGUGGCAAACUCCAGUAGUAGCAGACCAGUAAACCUUAUAUCUAUCAGUGGAAAUGCCAAACUACCUGGAUCUAAUCUGGAUAAUCAGUGAACCAUUGCAUCCUUUGGCUUGGGAAUAAUGUGUGCCCCCCCUUUUUUUUACUGUCUAGACCUCUCUUCAGCUGUGAUUACUUUUGACUACAUGAUCUGAAUAGACUGUAAGAAUCUGACUCCAUCGCAUUGCCCUAAUAAUAUCUCUCUUGUUCUUUAAUUAUCUCCUAUAGUAUCUUGAGUUACUUGCAAGAUUGACACAUCCAACUAGCCACACUGGUGAGUCUCUCUAUCUAUUGAUCGAUCAAUUGAUCUAAUUUUACCCUUGGUUCAAGAAGCUCAGAGUGGUGUACAUAUACAUAUUGUUAUUUUUUAUAUCCUGCUGCUAAACACAGAGAUGGUUCUUAC
This is a non-coding RNA of Podarcis lilfordi (Lilford's wall lizard), 1596 nucleotides long. NCBI's taxonomy places the organism in Eukaryota, Metazoa, Chordata, Lepidosauria, Squamata, Lacertidae. The record is from the annotation of a GenBank genome assembly.